GGGGAAGUAUGAGUUUGCAAGUUGAAACUUAAAGGGCAAUUGACGGACAAGGGCCUCACAAUGAAUGGAGCUUGCGGUUAAUUUGACUCAACACGGGGGAAAAUUUACCAGGUCCUGAACUUAUCGAGUAAGACAGAUUGAUAGCUCUUUCUCAAUAUAGGUAGUGGUGCAAGCGCCGUGUCUUAGUUCGUGAAAUGAUUUGUCCUGGUUAAUUCCGAUAACAGAAGUGAUCAAACAUCAGUAACCUAGAACGGCUUGUGCAGAUGGCGCCUCCAGGCAGCACCUGACGUUACCCAGCCGGGCCGGCGUCCUUCAGGCGGUCGUCGGCUACAGUUUGCAUGCUAGCGGAAACUUGUGUUUAGCAAGCUGAGAUGAGCGAUAACGGUCCGUGUGCCUUAGACUGUUCCUGGCUGUCACGCCGCGUGCUACAAUGGGUCGCAGGUGUUCUCGCCAAUAGGCCCCCCAUUCCGGAGAGGAACGGAAAUCACUAAAAUGACCCAUGCUAGUCGGGAUGGGGACUGCACGGUCCCCAUGAACCUGGAUAUUUCUAGUAAGCACUAGUCUUACUUAGUGCUGAUUAGUCCCUGCCUUUGUACACACUCUGCCCCGUCCUACUACCGAUGGAUUAUUUAGUGAGGUUUCUGGAGGCUUAUUCCGCGGUCCUUUCGUGAGCUGCAAGCUGAUGCUGAAGUGACCGAACUUGAUGAUUUAAGGAAGUAAAUAGUCGAUAACAAGGUUUCGUAUGGUUGGGGAACCUGGCGGAAG
Molecule: ribosomal RNA, 765 nt
Filed under: Anopheles funestus (African malaria mosquito)
Lineage: Eukaryota; Metazoa; Arthropoda; Insecta; Diptera; Culicidae
Description: eukaryotic small subunit ribosomal RNA
Rfam family: Eukaryotic small subunit ribosomal RNA
Source: RNAcentral